Molecule: ribosomal RNA, 165 nt
Filed under: uncultured bacterium
Lineage: Bacteria
Description: partial 16S rRNA
Rfam family: Bacterial small subunit ribosomal RNA
Source: RNAcentral
UAGGGAAUCUUCGGCAAUGGGGGCAACCCUGACCGAGCAACGCCGCGUGAGUGAAGAAGGUUUUCGGAUCGUAAAGCUCUGUUGUAAGAGAAGAACGUGUGUGAGAGUGGCAAGUUCACACAGUGACGGUAACUUACCAGAAAGGGACGGCUAACUACGUGCCUG